RNAcentral lists this ribosomal RNA (253 nucleotides) under uncultured bacterium. RNAcentral describes it as "partial 16S ribosomal RNA". It matches the Rfam family "Bacterial small subunit ribosomal RNA", at positions 524 to 776 of the family's 1533-position model. The record is from RNAcentral.
UACGAAGGGGGCUAGCGUUGCUCGGAAUCACUGGGCGUAAAGCGCACGUAGGCGGAUUUUUAAGUCAGGGGUGAAAUCCUGGAGCUCAACUCCAGAACUGCCUUUGAUACUGGGAAUCUCGAGUCCGGAAGAGGUGAGUGGAACUGCGAGUGUAGAGGUGAAAUUCGUAGAUAUUGGGAAGAACACCAGUGGCGAAGGCGGCUCACUGGCUCGUAACUGACGCUCAGGCGCGACAGCGUGGGGAUCAAACAGG